This 326-nucleotide ribosomal RNA is filed under the name uncultured eukaryote. RNAcentral describes it as "partial 18S ribosomal RNA". It matches the Rfam family "Eukaryotic small subunit ribosomal RNA", at positions 1470 to 1796 of the family's 1831-position model. The record is from RNAcentral.
CCCUUAGAUGUCCUGGGCCGCACGCGCGCUACACUGAUGCAUUCAACGAGUUUUACCUUGGCCGAGAGGCCUGGGCAAUCUUUUAAACCUGCAUCGUGAUAGGGAUAGAUUAUUGCAAUUAUUAAUCUUGAACGAGGAAUUCCUAGUAAACGCAAAUCAUCAAUCUGCAUUGAUUACGUCCCUGCCCUUUGUACACACCGCCCGUCGCACCUACCGAUUGGAUGGUCCGGUGAAGCCUCGGGAUUGUGGUUCUUGCCGCUUUAUUGUGGCGUGACCGCGAGAACUUGUCUAAACCUUAUCAUCUAGAGGAAGGUGAAGUCGUAACA